Molecule: transfer RNA, 77 nt
Filed under: Candidatus Pelagibacteraceae bacterium
Lineage: Bacteria; Pseudomonadati; Pseudomonadota; Alphaproteobacteria; Candidatus Pelagibacterales; Candidatus Pelagibacteraceae
Description: tRNA-Pro
Rfam family: tRNA
About the family: Transfer RNA (tRNA) molecules are approximately 80 nucleotides in length. Their secondary structure includes four short double-helical elements and three loops (D, anti-codon, and T loops). Further hydrogen bonds mediate the characteristic L-shaped molecular structure. tRNAs have two regions of fundamental functional importance: the anti-codon, which is responsible for specific mRNA codon recognition, and the 3' end, to which the tRNAs corresponding amino acid is attached (by aminoacyl-tRNA synthetases). tRNAs cope with the degeneracy of the genetic code in two manners: having more than one tRNA (with a specific anti-codon) for a particular amino acid; and 'wobble' base-pairing, i.e. permitting non-standard base-pairing at the 3rd anti-codon position.
Source: RNAcentral
CGGGGCAUAGCGCAGCUUGGUAGCGCAUCUGGUUUGGGACCAGAGGGUCGCAGGUUCAAAUCCUGCCGCCCCGACCA